ACCGAAGAAGCAGACUAUCAAGUCAAGCUGCGUAAAAUUGUUGAAUUCAUUGAAGACAAAGACAAGGUCAAAGUCAGCAUUCGUUUCCGUGGUCGCGAAAUGGCACACCAAGAAAUCGGCAAGGCACAACUUGAACGCAUCAUCGCUGACACUGCCGAGAUUGCCAGCGUUGAGCAGGCACCAAAAGUUGAAGGUCGCCAGAUGGGUAUGCUACUUGGUCCAGCCAAGAAAAAAUAAACUUGCUGAGCAUCAUCAAACAAAGCACCAAGAUGAUUGGUGCUUUGUAACCACAUCAGCUAAUCAUGGAUACGCUGCUGCAUAAUCAAA
Molecule: unclassified non-coding RNA, 327 nt
Filed under: Moraxella cuniculi DSM 21768
Lineage: Bacteria; Pseudomonadati; Pseudomonadota; Gammaproteobacteria; Moraxellales; Moraxellaceae
Description: Long range pseudoknot
Source: RNAcentral